GAUGAACGCUAGCGGGAGGCCUAACACAUGCAAGCCGAGCGGUAGAGUUUCUUCGGAAACUUGAGAGCGGCGCACGGGUGCGUAACACGUGUGCAACCUACCUUUAUCUGGGGGAUAGCCUUUCGAAAGGAAGAUUAAUACCCCAUAAUAUAAUGAUUGGCAUCAAUUAUUAUUGAAAACUCCGGUGGAUAGAGAUGGGCACGCGCAAGAUUAGAUGGUUGGUGAGGUAACGGCUCACCAAGUCAAUGAUCUUUAGGGGUCCUGAGAGGGAGAUCCCCCACACUGGUACUGAGACACGGACCAGACUCCUACGGGAGGCAGCAGUGAGGAAUAUUGGACAAUGGGUGAGAGCCUGAUCCAGCCAUCCCGCGUGAAGGAUGACGGUCCUAUGGAUUGUAAACUUCUUUUGUACAGGGAUAAACCUACCCUCGUGAGGGUAGCUGAAGGUACUGUACGAAUAAGCACCGGCUAACUCCGUG
Molecule: ribosomal RNA, 479 nt
Filed under: uncultured bacterium
Lineage: Bacteria
Description: partial 16S ribosomal RNA
Rfam family: Bacterial small subunit ribosomal RNA
Source: RNAcentral